This is a non-coding RNA of Aspergillus heteromorphus CBS 117.55, 96 nucleotides long. Lineage: Eukaryota; Fungi; Ascomycota; Eurotiomycetes; Eurotiales; Aspergillaceae. The record is from the annotation of a RefSeq genome assembly.
AGUCGCGUGGUCUAAUGGUUAUGAUUUCUCGUUCACAGCAUGUGAGAUUCGUCUCGAGCGCCGAGAAGGUUCCCGGUUCGAUACCGGGCGCGACUA